This 207-nucleotide ribosomal RNA is filed under the name uncultured bacterium. RNAcentral's name for it is "partial 16S ribosomal RNA". It matches the Rfam family "Bacterial small subunit ribosomal RNA", at positions 568 to 774 of the family's 1533-position model. The record is from RNAcentral.
CGCGUAGGCGGCGGCACAAGUCUCAUGUGAAAGCCCCGGGCUUAACCCGGGAAGAGCAUGGGAAACUGUGUGGCUUGAGUGAGGUAGAGGAUCGUGGAAUUCCUAGUGUAGCGGUAAAAUGCAUAGAUAUUAGGAGGAACACCGGUGGCGAAGGCGACGAUCUGGGCCUUAACUGACGCUGAGGCGCGAAAGCGUGGGUAGCAAACA